ACCUUCUUAUUUAAGCUCUGCUAAAAGUGCAGAAACUGGUAUCUGCAGGGUCUUAGUACUUGUAAUAAAACUGAUAGAGUAAACACAAGGAGAAAAACAACUAUACCAGAUAGUAGAAAAACUGCAGGUAACUCCAUGGUAUUUUGUUUUAAGAUUUGGUACAGUAAUA
This 169-nucleotide small nucleolar RNA is filed under the name Catagonus wagneri (Chacoan peccary). RNAcentral describes it as "Small nucleolar RNA SNORA81 (ENSCWAG00000012283.1)". It matches the Rfam family "Small nucleolar RNA SNORA81". The record is from Rfam by way of RNAcentral. Lineage: Eukaryota; Metazoa; Chordata; Mammalia; Artiodactyla; Tayassuidae.